GUAGAGAGUGGCGGAUUGGGGAGGAACACGUGAGCAACCUGCCUUGGAGUCGGGGAAAACCGUUGGAAACGACGGCUAAUACCGGGAUGCGGCGACCCGAAGACAUCUUCGGAGCGCUAAAGGGGGCCGCAAGGCUCUCGCUCCUAGAGGGGCUCGCGCACCAUCAGCUUGUUGGCGGGGUAACGGCCCACCGAAGGCCUACGGUUAGCUGGUCUGAGAGGAUGACCAGCCCCACUGGGACUGAGAUACUGCCCAGACUCCUACGGGAGGCUGCAGUCGAGGAUCAUUUGCAAUGGGCGAAAGCCUGACAAUGCGACGCUGCGGUUAGGAGGAUGAAGGCCUUCGGGUUGUAAACUCCUGUCAUGGGGGAACAGGCGAGGGGAGUUAAUACCUCCCUUAGUUGAGUGUACCCCAAGAGGAAUUGGCGGCUAACUCUGUGCCAGCAGCCGC
RNAcentral lists this ribosomal RNA (450 nucleotides) under uncultured bacterium. RNAcentral describes it as "bacterial SSU rRNA". It matches the Rfam family "Bacterial small subunit ribosomal RNA", at positions 88 to 518 of the family's 1533-position model. The record is from RNAcentral.